ACGCACGCUGGCGGCGUGCUUAACACCUGCAAGUCGAACGGAAAGGCCCUGCUUUUGUGGGGUGCUCGAGUGGCGAACGGGUGAGUAACACGUGAGUAACCUGCCCUUGACUUUGGGGUAACUUCAGGAAACUGGGGCUAAUACCGGAUAGGAGCUCCUGCUGCAUGGUGGGGGUUGGAAAGUUUCGGCGGUUGGGGAUGGACUCGCGGCUUAUCAGCUUGUUGGUGGGGUAGUGGCUUACCAAGGCUUUGACGGGUAGCCGGCCUGAGAGGGUGACCGGCCACAUUGGGACUGAGAUACGGCCCAGACUCCUACGGGAGGCAGCAGUGGGGAAUAUUGCACAAUGGGCGGAAGCCUGAUGCAGCAACGCCGCGUGCGGGACGACGGCCUUCGGGUUGUAAACCGCUUUCGCCUGUGACGAAGCGUGAGUGACGGUAAUGGGUAAAGAAGCACCGGCUAACUACGUG
Molecule: ribosomal RNA, 467 nt
Filed under: uncultured bacterium
Lineage: Bacteria
Description: partial 16S ribosomal RNA
Rfam family: Bacterial small subunit ribosomal RNA
Source: RNAcentral